UAGGGAAUCUUCCACAAUGGGCGAAAGCCUGAUGGGGCAACGCCGCGUGUGUGAUGAAGGGUUUCGGCUCGUAAAACACUGUUGUAAGAGAAGAAUGACAUUGAGAGUAACUGUUCAAUGUGUGACGGUGUCUUACCAGAAAGGAACGGCUAAAUACGUGCCCG
Molecule: ribosomal RNA, 164 nt
Filed under: uncultured bacterium
Lineage: Bacteria
Description: partial 16S rRNA
Rfam family: Bacterial small subunit ribosomal RNA
Source: RNAcentral